RNAcentral lists this ribosomal RNA (925 nucleotides) under uncultured bacterium. RNAcentral's name for it is "bacterial SSU rRNA". It matches the Rfam family "Bacterial small subunit ribosomal RNA", at positions 11 to 917 of the family's 1533-position model. The record is from RNAcentral.
GUUUGAUCAUGGCUCAGGAUGAACGCUGGCGGCGUGCCUAAUACAUGCAAGUCGAGCGAACAGAUAAGGAGCUUGCUCCUUUGAAGUUAGCGGCGGACGGGUGAGUAACACGUGGGUAACCUACCUAUAAGACUGGGAUAACUUCGGGAAACCGGAGCUAAUACCGGAUAACAUUUAGAACCGCAUGGUUCUAAAGUGAAAGAUGGUUUUGCUAUCACUUAUAGAUGGACCCGCGCCGUAUUAGCUAGUUGGUAAGGUAACGGCUUACCAAGGCGACGAUACGUAGCCGACCUGAGAGGGUGAUCGGCCACACUGGAACUGAGACACGGCCCAGACUCCUACGGGAGGCAGCAGUAGGGAAUCUUCCGCAAUGGGCGAAAGCCUGACGGAGCAACGCCGCGUGAGUGAUGAAGGGUUUCGGCUCGUAAAACUCUGUUAUUAGGGAAGAACAAAUGUGUAAGUAACUGUGCACAUCUUGACGGUACCUAAUCAGAAAGCCACGGCUAACUACGUGCCAGCAGCCGCGGUAAUACGUAGGUGGCAAGCGUUAUCCGGAAUUAUUGGGCGUAAAGCGCGCGUAGGCGGUUUCUUAAGUCUGAUGUGAAAGCCCACGGCUCAACCGUGGAGGGUCAUUGGAAACUGGGAAACUUGAGUGCAGAAGAGGAAAGUGGAAUUCCAUGUGUAGCGGUGAAAUGCGCAGAGAUAUGGAGGAACACCAGUGGCGAAGGCGACUUUCUGGUCUGUAACUGACGCUGAUGUGCGAAAGCGUGGGGACCAAACAGGAUUAGAUACCCUGGUAGUCCACGCCGUAAACGAUGAGUGCUAAGUGUUAGGGGGUUUCCGCCCCNUUAGUGCUGCAGCUANCGCAUUAAGCACUCCGCCUGGGGAGUACGACCGCANGGUNGAAACUCAANGNAUUGACGGA